GUGGGGAAUUUUGGACAAUGGGCGCAAGCCUGAUCCAGCGACGCCGCGUGGAGGACGAAGGCCUUCGGGUUGUAAACUCCUUUUGGAGGGGAAGAAUAAAUUGACGGUACCCUCAGAAAAAGCCACGGCUAACUACGUGCCAGCAGCCGCGGUAAUACGUAGGUGGCGAGCGUUACUCUGAAUUACUAGGCGUAAAGCGUAUGUAGGUGGUUAUAUAAGUCUAUGGUGAAAUUUCCUGGCUUAACUGGGAAGGGACAUAGAUACUAUCUGGCUUGAGUGUGGGAAGGGGAGACGGAAUUCCUGGUGUAGCGGUGAAAUGCGUAGAUAUCAGGAGGAACACCGAUGGCGAAAGCAGUCUCCUGGCCCAAUACUGACACUGAGGUACGAAAGCUAGGGUAGCAAACAGGAUUAGAUACCCUGGUAGUCC
This 427-nucleotide ribosomal RNA is filed under the name uncultured bacterium. RNAcentral's name for it is "partial 16S ribosomal RNA". It matches the Rfam family "Bacterial small subunit ribosomal RNA", at positions 354 to 796 of the family's 1533-position model. The record is from RNAcentral.